UACAGAGGGUGCAAGCGUUAAUCGGAAUUACUGGGCGUAAAGCGCGCGUAGGCGGUUUGUUAAGUUGGAUGUGAAAUCCCCGGGCUCAACCUGGGAACUGCAUCCAAAACUGGCAAGCUAGAGUACGGUAGAGGGUGGUGGAAUUUCCUGUGUAGCGGUGAAAUGCGUAGAUAUAGGAAGGAACAUCAGUGGCGAAGGCGACCACCUGGACUGAUACUGACACUGAGGUGCGAAAGCGUGGGGAGCAAACAGG
RNAcentral lists this ribosomal RNA (253 nucleotides) under uncultured bacterium. RNAcentral's name for it is "partial 16S ribosomal RNA". It matches the Rfam family "Bacterial small subunit ribosomal RNA", at positions 524 to 776 of the family's 1533-position model. The record is from RNAcentral.